GCGUUGCUCCUAAGACCUGCUCGCUUGAUUUAACAGCCCUGCAUCACCAGCUCGCCCAUAGGCACGUGCCGCCUCUAUCUGCCACCCCAGCAGAGCUUUCCCAAACUAUGUGGUUCUCUAAAAGUGAACAGGAUGGAUGGUGGGUUGAAGUAGAAACAUACAAGAGAACAGAAGCCUUCAUUUUUAGACAGUCUCUGUAGGAUAGCAGGUCAGUGCCACAUUAGAUGGAUGUGAGUUUUGCAUGUCUUUGUAGGAAAGACAGAAAAGACAGAGAAACAGUGAUAAACAGUAAGAACUUCUUUACAAUGAAAUUUAGCAAUUCAUAAACAGGAUGACAUGCAUAAUUUAAGUUUCAUUGCUGCUGUUUUGUUUUUUUUUUUUCCCCUUUAGCUUCAGAAAAAAAUGUAUUGCUUUUUGGUUGGCAUCCUGACUUAACUGAUGAAAUAUUAGCGGCCCCUGAGAGAAAAUCCAUACACUGAAGGUGACUGUGGGCUCAAUUUCCUACAGAGGAAGAGUGUUGGAUGAAGCAUGGGAGCAGUGCUAGACCCUCUGGAGUUAAGUGACAGACCUGAUGGACUUAAGGAGCUGGUGCCAGAAGUCCCGUCCAUGUGUAAAUACAGAAGAGGCACCAGAAGAGCCAAUGGCCCCUGCUCUUCCUUUCCU
This 663-nucleotide long non-coding RNA is filed under the name Calidris pugnax (ruff). RNAcentral describes it as "lncRNA (ENSCPUG00000019157.1)". The record is from RNAcentral. Lineage: Eukaryota; Metazoa; Chordata; Aves; Charadriiformes; Scolopacidae.